Molecule: unclassified non-coding RNA, 200 nt
Filed under: Inocybe sp.
Lineage: Eukaryota; Fungi; Basidiomycota; Agaricomycetes; Agaricales; Inocybaceae
Description: partial internal transcribed spacer 2
Source: RNAcentral
UUAAGUUCAGCGGGUAGUCCUACCUGAUUUGAGGUCAAGUUUGUCAAGUUAUUUUCGUCGUUGUAAGCAGCGCAAUCUGUUCAUGCAGCAUACCAAAGGCAUAGAUAAUUUAUCACACCUAUAGUAGCAGCUCAGAUGCCACUAAUGCAUUUAAGGGGAGCUGACCAUCCGUAAAGAAGCCAGCAAAAUAGACCCCCAUA